AACGAACGUUAGCGGCGCGCUUAACACAUGCAAGUCGUGCGAGAAAGGGGCAACCCCGGUAAAGCGGCGCACGGGCGAGUAACACGUAGGUAAUCUGCCCCAAGGUGGUGGAUAACCUUCCGAAAGGAGGGCUAAUACAGCAUGAGACCACGGUCCCGCAAGGGAUUGAGGUCAAAGUCGGCCUCUUCAUGAAAGCUGACGCCAGGGGAGUGAGCCUGCGGCCCAUCACGGUAGGUUGGAGGGUAAUGGCCUACCAAGCCUAAGACGGGUAGCUGGUCUGAGAGGAUGAUCAGCCACACUGGAACUGAGACACGGUCCAGACUCCUACGGGAGGCAGCAGUGGGGAAUCUUGCGCAAUGGGCGAAAGCCUGACGCAGCGACGCCGCGUGAGUGAU
Molecule: ribosomal RNA, 395 nt
Filed under: uncultured bacterium
Lineage: Bacteria
Description: bacterial SSU rRNA
Rfam family: Bacterial small subunit ribosomal RNA
Source: RNAcentral